RNAcentral lists this ribosomal RNA (406 nucleotides) under uncultured bacterium. RNAcentral's name for it is "partial 16S ribosomal RNA". It matches the Rfam family "Bacterial small subunit ribosomal RNA", at positions 30 to 526 of the family's 1533-position model. The record is from RNAcentral.
AUUGAACGCUGGCGGCAGGCUUAACACAUGCAAGUCGAGCGAGUGGCGGACGGGUGAGUAAUGUCUGGGAAACUGCCUGAUGGAGGGGGAUAAAUACUGGAAACGGUAGCUAAUACCGCAUACCAACGGAUGUGCCCAGAUGGGAUUGGCUAGUAGGUGGGGUAAAGGCUAACCUAGGCGACGAUCCCUAGCUGGUCUGAGAGGAUGACCAGCCACACUGGACCUGAGACACGGUCCAGACUCCUACGGGAGGCAGCAGUGGGGAAUAUUGCACAAUGGGCGCAAGCCUGAUGCAGCCAUGCCGCGUGUAGGAAGAGGGCCUUCGGGUUGUAAAGUACUUUCAGCGGGGAGGCGUUACCCGCAGAAGAAGCACCGGCUAACUCCGUGCCAGCAGCCGCGGUAAUUC